Gallus gallus (chicken) is the source of this 2882-nucleotide long non-coding RNA. NCBI's taxonomy places the organism in Eukaryota, Metazoa, Chordata, Aves, Galliformes, Phasianidae. The record is from Ensembl.
CCGGAAGUCGCCCCCUUCGCGCGCCCCCCCCCCUGCAGUUUCAAUACGCAUGCGCCGAGAGGCCCUGAGCCGAGUCACGUGGUGCAUCGCGCGGUGCUCUCCCUAAAGGGGUCCGGGUACUUCCUGUGCGCUCCUAUGGGGUUCCGUGCUCUGUCCCAGGGUUUCGUGCGCUUCUUAUGGGGAUCUGUCUGUUCUUAUGGGAGUCGGUGCGCUCCUAUAGGGUUCCAUGCUCUGCGGUAGGGUUUCGUGUGCUUUCUAUAGGGUUUUGUUUUAUUCUAUGGGGUUUAGGUGCUCCUAUGGGGGUCCACGUGCUCCCAUUGGGGUCCGUCUGCUCCUAUAAGGUUCUGUGUUCUCCUUUAGGGUUCUGUGCACUCCUAUAGGGUUUUGUGUGCUUUCUGUAGGGAUCCGUGUGCUCCUAUAGGGGUCCGUGUGUGGCUAUAGGGUUCCACAUUCUGCCAUGGGGUUUUGUGCGCUUCUAUAGGGGUCCACCAUCUCCUAUGGGGAUCAGUGGGCUCCUGGAGGGGUCCAUGUUCUCCUAUAGGGUUCCAUGUUUUCUCAUAUAGGGCUCUGUGGCCUCUUAUAGGCGUCCAUGUGCUCCUAUAGGGGUCUGCGUUCACUUCCGGGGUUCUGGGUGAUCCUGUAGGGUUUUGUGUGCUCCUCUAGGUGUUUGUGUACUCCUAUGGAGUUCCAAGUACUUUCUAUAGGGGUCGGGGCAUUCCUAUAUGGAUCUGUGUUCUCCCACAGAGUUCUGCGUGCUCCUAUAGGGUUCCAUAUACUUUCUAUAGGAGCCCAGGUGCUCCUAUAGGGGCCUGGGUACACCCUGUUGGUGUCUGUGUGUUCCUAUAGGGGCCCUUGUGCUCCAUAUGGGCUCUGAGCUCUCUCCCUACAGGGCUUCAUGCGGUCCCUAUAGGGGUCGCUCCCCAUAUGGAUCCAUAGGCUCCCUAUAGGGAGUGUGUGCUCUAUGGGGUCCGUAUGCUCUCUACAGGGCCCCACGCGUUCCCUAUAGGAGUCCUAUGAGGUCUGUGUGUACCCUAUGGAAUCCUAUCAGGGUUGCUGUGCUCUCUGUAGGGUGACAUUCCCCACAGAGGUCCCUAUAGGGCUCUUUGCUCUCUCUAUAGGGCUCCACAUGCACCCUGGGGUGUCCACGUAAUCCCUAUAGGUGCUGUGUGCUCCCUAUAUGGCACAUGUGCUACCCAUAUGGUGCCCUAUAGGCCCUGUAUUCCCUGUAUGCACCCCAUAGGGCUCCUGUGUGCCCCCUAUAGAUCCCUAUAGGGUGCUCUAUGCACCUAUAGGGCCUGUGCCCCCCUAUAGUCCCUGUGUGCUCCCCAUAGGGUCCCACGUGCCCCCUACAGUCCCUGUGUUCUCCCCAUAGGGCUCUCCCUGUCUCCUAUAGGCCCCGUGUGCCCUGUGCCCCCUAUAGGCUCUGUGUGCUCCCCAUAGGGUACUCUAUGCCCCCUAUAGGCCCUGUGCCCCCUAUAGGCUCUGUGUGCCCGCUAUAGGCCUCCUGUUCUCCCCAUAGGGCUCCCCAUGCCCCUAAGGGCCCUCUAUGCCCCCUAUAGGAUGCCCUGUUCCUCCUAUAGGCCCCAUGCCCCCUAUAGUCCCCAUGUUCUCCCCAUAGGAUUCCCUGGGCACCUACAGGCUCUGUGUGCCCCUUAUAGGCCCCAUGUUCUUCCUACAGGGCUCCCUGUGCCCCCUAUAAGCCCCGUGUGCCCCCUAUAAACCCCAUGUUCCCCCCCAUAGGACGCCCUGUGCCUCUAUAGGCUCUGUGCCCCUGUAGGCUCUGUGUGCCCCCUAUAGGCUCUGUGUGCUCCCCAUAGGACCCUGUGUGCCCCCUAUAGGCUCUAUGUGCUCCCCAUAGGACCCUGCGUGCCCCCUAUAGGCUCUGUGUGCUCCCCAUAGGACCCUGCGUGCCCCCUAUAGGCUCUGUGUGCUCCCCAUAGCGUCCUGUGUGCCCCCUAUAGGCUCGUUCCCCAUAGGACCCUGUGUGCCCCCUAUAGGCUCUAUGUCCUCCCCAUAGGACCCUGUGUGCCCCCUAUAGGCUCUGUGCCCUCCCCAUAGGACCCUGCGUGCCCCCUAUAGGCUCUGUGUGCUCCCCAUAGGGUCCUGUGUGCCCCCUAUAGGCUGUAUGUGCUCCCCAUAGGGUCCUGCGUGCCCCCUAUAGGCUCUGUGUGCUCCCCAUAGGGUCCUGUGUGCCCCCUAUAGGCUGUAUGUGCUCCCCAUAGGGUCCUGCGUGCCCCCUAUAGGCUCUGUGUGCUCCCCAUAGGACCCUGUGUGCCCCCUAUAGGAUCUAUGUCCUCCCCAUAGGACCCUGUGUGCCCCCUAUAGACCCCCCCCCCAAAGGACCCCCCCACACAUCUCAGCAUCUCAGCCUUUAUUGAGUGGCUCCAGCGUGGCCCCCCCCCGCAGCGGGGACAUGCAGCGUGUGUGGGGCCGGGCGUGUUUGAGGGGGGGGGUUAAGGUGUGUGUGUGGGGGGGGGGGGGGCGCAGCAGGGCCGGGGGAGUCACAGCCUCACUGCCCCCAAGUAGGGGGGGCCGGGGGGGGCCGGACAUUCCUCCAGGUAUCAGUUUAAGGCAUCUCAAAGCGGCCCCCGGGCUGCCCCCCCGUCCCACCCCCUCCCCCCCCCCCGGCCCCGGUGAUGUCCCCCCAACUGCCCCCCCCAAAAGGGUCCCGGGGGGGGGGUCGAUGGGGAAGGGGGCGAGCACACAGACACAGAGGUGGCACCGGGACAUGCGGAGCGGUGAUGGGGUCCGGUGGGACCUGCGGGGGGGGGACAGGGCUGGGGGUCAGGACAUGGACCCCCCCCCACCCAGAGCGUAAUGGAUGGGGGGGCGCAGGGGGCAUGAAGGGAACUCGAGGAUUGAGGGGGGGGGCAGGAUGGGGG